Molecule: long non-coding RNA, 1056 nt
Filed under: Bos indicus x Bos taurus (hybrid cattle)
Lineage: Eukaryota; Metazoa; Chordata; Mammalia; Artiodactyla; Bovidae
Description: lncRNA (ENSBIXG00005028105.1)
Source: RNAcentral
AUGCCCAGUCAGUGUACUCAAAACUAUGUCUGGAAAGAGAGGCUGGGUAGGGGCAACAGGGGGUGCAUGGCUCUUCUCCCUUCUUCCCCAUCCCCUCUCCUCUUCUGGCUUCCCGCUUCCUUUGGUCCGCCCUUCCCCUUGCUCCUUUCUGACCUCUCCCCGCCCUCUGGUUCUUUUCUGCAGAGCCUUUUCUUCCCACAAGUUCCCAGGAGGUGCUCUUGGCUAGUGCCCUCAAUCCUUCUUGCCUGCAGGAGGCUGGCGUGUGGCUCUGCUGGGGGCCCAGAGACCACCCAGAGCUGGGAGCGUAUGGUCUGUGGGCCUGUUCUCCGACAUCCAUGGAUCUCUGUGAAUGUGAGCCUGCAGAGGGAGGCAGGAGGAAGGCUGAGCUUCACAGAGAGAAAACUGAGACUCCAAGAGGCCAGUGGAGUCAGGAGUAGGUGGGGGUAUGCUGUAGAUACAGUGGGGUCCUGAUCCUGCCCUGGUCGUGGAGGCCAGUCUAGUCACACACCACUGCCUGUGGGUCCACCCUGGGAGCACUUAGGGGGAGGAGGCUCUGAACAUGGAGGCAGCUCAGACUCUGGGGGCAGAUGGACCUGAGUUUGAAUUCAUCAGCGCUGCCUACCACCUAAGGUGAGUGGUCUGCUUUCUCUGAGGCUCCAUCUGCAGACAGGACAAAGCCCAGGGGGGCCCAGCUGCCAACUCCCCAAGAACCUUCAGCCACAGACAAUGAGCAGCGGGGGACAGGAGCUGGGCUACAGGCACAGAGCAGAGGGGAUUGGGAAGGGAGAGCUGAAGCCAGAGAGCUAUGGCCUGGGCAGCUGCGAGGGAGCAGGCCAGCAGGAGAUGGCCUGGAGGGUCACGGGGUAGUAGGUCAGAGGGUGGAGGCUGGUGGGGUGGUGGGCAGUGGAUUGAUGGCCUUGGCAGUCGUGGUCUCUAAGAGCCCUGCAGUGUGCGAGGAGAGGCGUGAAAGCAAGGGACAGCACCGUGUGACAGCUCUACACAGGCCAGGUGAGGCAAAGAGCAAGUCAGUACCGAGUGGAAUGAGCUGACAGCGAG